GUGGGGAAUAUUGGACAAUGGGGGGAACCCUGAUCCAGCCAUGCCGCGUGUGUGAAGAAGGCCUUUUGGUUGUAAAGCACUUUAAGCGAGGAGGAGGCUACCGAGAUUAAUACUCUUGGAUAGUGGACGUUACUCGCAGAAUAAGCACCGGCUAACUCUGUGCCAGCAGCCGCGGUAAUACAGAGGGUGCAAGCGUUAAUCGGAUUUACUGGGCGCAAAGCGCGCGUAGGUGGCCAAUUAAGUCAAAUGUGAAAUCCCCGAGCUUAACUUGGGAAUUGCAUUCGAUACUGGUUGGCUAGAGUAUGGGAGAGGAUGGUAGAAUUCCAGGUGUAGCGGUGAAAUGCGUAGAGAUCUGGAGGAAUACCGAUGGCGAAGGCAGCCAUCUGGCCUAAUACUGACACUGAGGUGCGAAAGCAUGGGGAGCAAACAGGAUUAGAUACCCCAGUAGUCC
Molecule: ribosomal RNA, 451 nt
Filed under: uncultured bacterium
Lineage: Bacteria
Description: bacterial SSU rRNA
Rfam family: Bacterial small subunit ribosomal RNA
Source: RNAcentral